GAACACGAGCCCUAUCCUUUUCACAUUGUUCUAGAAAUUGGAUAGCAUCAUCAAAAGCCAAAUUUUGCUCAUCUUGCAGGCAGUGAUAAGUAAAGGAAUUUUUAUAAAGAUUCUGACAAGCAGGUACUAUAUUGAGAAUCCGAGAAAUUCCGAUGGUUUUGAGAAGCUCAGCUCGAGAAGCAUUAUCAUAACUCCCUAGAAAAAGAAACUCCGGCAAGAUCUCAGAAGGAAACGCACUGACAUGAACUGAAGAACCCUUUUCAGAUACAUCAGGCAUUCGAUGUCCACAGAUCCCACAAACUUCACCUUCUUCAUAUUUGUGAUAAUGCCCACAAACACCACAUGGAUUUUCCCUCUCCCUCUUCCUCAUAAUUUGAUCAAAUCACAGAAUCAACAACUACCCAGAUGAGUAAAAUUCAAGAUUUAAAC
RNAcentral lists this unclassified non-coding RNA (429 nucleotides) under Hevea brasiliensis (rubber tree). Lineage: Eukaryota; Viridiplantae; Streptophyta; Magnoliopsida; Malpighiales; Euphorbiaceae. The record is from RNAcentral.